UGCCAGCCGCCGCGGUAAUACGGAGGGGGCUAGCGUUGCUCGGAAUUACUGGGCGUAAAGAGCACGUAGGCGGGUAUUCUAGUCAGGCGUGAAAGCCCCAGGCUCAACCUGGGAACUGCGUUUGAUACUGGAUACCUAGAGUCCGAGAGAGGGUGGUGGAAUUCCCAGUGUAGAGGUGAAAUGCGUAGAUACUGGGAGGAACACCAGUGGCGAAGGCGGCCAACUGGACCGGUUCUGACGCUGAGGCGCGAAAGUGUGGGGAGCAAACAGGAUUAGAUA
RNAcentral lists this ribosomal RNA (279 nucleotides) under uncultured bacterium. RNAcentral's name for it is "partial 16S ribosomal RNA". It matches the Rfam family "Bacterial small subunit ribosomal RNA", at positions 506 to 784 of the family's 1533-position model. The record is from RNAcentral.